RNAcentral lists this ribosomal RNA (325 nucleotides) under uncultured eukaryote. RNAcentral's name for it is "partial 18S ribosomal RNA". It matches the Rfam family "Eukaryotic small subunit ribosomal RNA", at positions 1470 to 1796 of the family's 1831-position model. The record is from RNAcentral.
CCCUUAGAUGUUCUGGGCCGCACGCGCGCUACAAUGAUGAAUUCAACGAGUUUAUAACCUUGGUUGAAAAGCCUGGGUAAUCUUUUGAACUUUCGUCGUGAUGGGGCUAGACCCUUGCAAUUAUUGGUCUCCAACGAGGAAUUCCUAGUAAACGCAAGUCAUCAGCUUGCAUUGAUUACGUCCCUGCCCUUUGUACACACCGCCCGUCGCACCUACCGAUUGAAUGGUCCGGUGAAUAAUUCGGACUGCAGCAGUGUUCGGUCACGAACGUUGCAGCGGAAAGUUUAGUGAACCUUAUCACUUAGAGGAAGGAGAAGUCGUAACA